UCCGGCCGGCGCCGCCUGCGGAGGGUCUCGGCGAUCGGCGGGGACGCGGGUGGCCGGCGAUGGCCGCGGAGGGGCUUGUCGGAUCCCGCUUCCAAGAAGGUCCUAAGCGGCCGAGGGAGGUGGGCUAAGGAGCGGUGUCCCUUGUCGAGUACCGGCCAUGUGACACAAGCCUGUCCGCCCCGCUGCCGCCGCCCUGCCAGCACAUCUCAAGUCCAGCUGGCCACAUUCCAAGGGCUCAAGAGCCACACUUUGCCAGUUUAGACCCAGAAGCAGAAAAGAAACCAAUCAAGUGGAUGCCACAUCAAAUGGUGAAAAGUGUCUUUUAUAGGUGAAUGAAAUUCAGACAGAGAGAGAAAGCCAUGGAAGCAAGAAGCUGGAAGCAGUGAAACCCAAAAAAGAAGGGAGAGACCAGCAGAUGCCACCAUGUGCCUUGCCAUAUAACAGAGGAGUUCAGGAUUGUCACAGCUGGUCUUCAGGAAGAAGGUAUCAUCUUGAUGAUGCCUUGAUUCAGACAUUUUCACAGCCUCAGAACUGUGAGCUUGUGAGCGGUUUGCUGGUCAGUGUCCAAACAGCACGGAGGCAUCGAAGCGGAACACUCCCUCUGAGAACAGAAGCUGGCUUAGAGGAUUGUGGGAAGACAGCAGAGUGGGAAGUUCCAGUAAUCAGUCCCUCCAACAAAACAACUCUCAAACUGGCAGGAGCUGUCUGAAUCAACCACUUUGAAACUCCAGAGCUUAGAGGAAAACUGGGCAGCAUCCAGGAAGGAGCAGGAGGAAGAGGCUGGUAAAUUGAGAUAAAUACCAGUGGCUUUCACCUUCCCUGCUGCGGCUAUCAUCCCCUUUUCCCCAGCCUCAUGGCAAACAGCAGUGGGGACUAGAGCUUGGGCUCCUGCUACAGCUUUCUGGAGCCAGGAUAGGACAUAAAGAACUAGUCCAAAAUUCUGGGUGUGUGCAGUCUGUUCCCAAAUCUCUCCCUUUGAUCAGCUACUUCAUUUCACCAGGGGCUGGCUCUGAGGGCAGCCACUAUUCCAACCCCCGGGGCAGAGGUGGCCAAGAAAUCUUAAAGAUAGUAAGUUCCUCAAAACUGUGAGAAAGCAGAGGGCUGCAUUAAUCCAUUAACCAGAUAGUGCUGAAUUAAGAAAACAGUUCAAAAGCCGUAGAAGAAGCUCCUGGUGUCCUUGCUGGCCCCUCCUCUACCCCCCACCCCCCACAACACAGGGUGGAACCAACUUGUGUUCCCAUUGUGGGUCCCUGGCCCUCUUCCAGAGGGAGCAGAGUGGCCCCUGUGUGCAUACUGGGGUGCAUGUGUAUCAGUGCCAAUCUGUCAAGUGGAUGUCUAAGAGACUGAGCAGGGUAACCUGUCUCAGUCUUGCCCUCCCAGAGUUUGUCCUGAGGACAGAGAAGCCUAUUGCAGACAGCUGGGACAGUGUAAAAAACAAGUUGAAGCAGCCUGGGGGAAAGGACUACCUCUGUUAAGUCUCAUUAGAGAGCACACAGGAGAGGGAGGAGCUCUGUUACAAAGAGUGUACAGGAGGCGUCCACUCAAACGCCUGUAAACUGUAAAUGGGGAAUUCCCAAAGCCUCUAGCAAGCACAAGCCCAGGAAAAGAAGCAGGCUUCCUGGCUCUGGCUCCGUGCAGGCACAUAAAAGACAGGAUCCUGCACUUCCCAUUUCCCUUGGGCUGAUUUUCUUGAUAGGAGGACUCAGCUUUGGAGGAUACCACCAGCAAAAGCAGAGCCAAUUUGCAAAGACAGUGAAAGGUGCUUUUUCUAUUGGUUUGUUUGUUUUAAUUAGCUCCUGGCAUUCAAGAAAAUCUCUGUCAUAUCACUAACUGGAUACAAAUUUAA
Choloepus didactylus (southern two-toed sloth) is the source of this 1846-nucleotide long non-coding RNA. RefSeq lists it as uncharacterized. The record is from RefSeq and is a predicted model, not a curated record. Lineage: Eukaryota; Metazoa; Chordata; Mammalia; Pilosa; Megalonychidae. The transcript is spliced from 4 exons.